ACUCAAAGGAAUUGACGGGGGCCCGCACAAGCGGUGGAGCAUGUGGAUUAAUACGUCACUAACCGUAGAACCUUACCCAGGCUUGACAUCCUCGGAACCUUGCUGAAAGGCAGGGGUGCCCCGCAAGGGGAGCCGAGAGACAGGUGUUGCAUGGCUGUCGUCAGCUCGUGUCGUGAGAUGUUGGGUUAAGUCCCGCAACGAGCGCAACCCUCACCGCAUGUUGCCAGCGUCAAGUCGGGCACUCUUGCGGAACUGCCCGGGUAACCGGGAGGAAGGUGAGGAUGACGUCAAGUCAGCAUGGCCCUUACGCCUGGGGCUUCACACAUGCUACAAUGGCCGGUACAAAGGGUUCCAAAGUCGCGAGGCGGAGGCAAUCCCAAAAAGCCGGUCUCAGUUCGGAUCGCAGGCUGCAACUCGCCUGCGUGAAGUCGGAAUCGCUAGUAACCGCCGGUCAGCUAAACGGCGGUGAAUACGUUCCCGGGCCUUGUACACACCGCCCGU
RNAcentral lists this ribosomal RNA (501 nucleotides) under uncultured bacterium. Its description in RNAcentral is "partial 16S ribosomal RNA". It matches the Rfam family "Bacterial small subunit ribosomal RNA", at positions 899 to 1397 of the family's 1533-position model. The record is from RNAcentral.